UCUCGAUUGGUCUAGUGGUCAGGAUACCUGCUUGUCAUUCAAGCUUGGCAUCUACGAAAGUGGAUUCUAGAAUUCGCAGGUGGCCGGGGUUCGAUUCCCCGAUCGAGAG
This is a non-coding RNA of Xylaria digitata, 109 nucleotides long. The record is from the annotation of a GenBank genome assembly. NCBI's taxonomy places the organism in Eukaryota, Fungi, Ascomycota, Sordariomycetes, Xylariales, Xylariaceae.